GGUUGCGCCGGUAGAGGAAGGCGAAGGCGGGCUGAGCCCAGCGCCGGGAGGGGUGGUCUAAACCCCUCCGCCGCGUUAGGAUCGAUAAAGCCGGCGGCGGAAAUUUGAAGGAGGAAACGGGCCUGAGUCAUGGUGGCUCCACCGAGUUAUCGUCUUCUUGUGGUGCCCGAUUUCUACGUGGCUACACUCUGUCUGGAUUCCUUGUAACUGAAAGAGACGAAGACCACUUUGAAGCUUUCUGGUCUCCCAUGUCAGAGUCAGAAGUGGAGAACUGAUCAGCAAGAUUCUGGUGGCUUGUAAUUAGCAUUUCAAGGGCCAAAUGGUUCCUCAGCUAUAGAGCCAAGUUACCUAACUGACUUCCACAAGAUCAAACUGGUUUAUGGGAUGCAGGAUAAUGGAGCAUGCUCUUUCUGGAACAUUGCUAGUCUUACAACAGAGGGAGAAGACAG
This is a long non-coding RNA of Saimiri boliviensis boliviensis (Bolivian squirrel monkey), 449 nucleotides long. RefSeq lists it as uncharacterized. NCBI's taxonomy places the organism in Eukaryota, Metazoa, Chordata, Mammalia, Primates, Cebidae. The record is from RefSeq and is a predicted model, not a curated record.